GAGUUUGAUCCUGGCUCAGAUUGAACGCUGGCGGCAGGCCUAACACAUGCAAGUCGAGCGGUAGAGAGAAGCUUGCUUCUCUUGAGAGCGGCGGACGGGUGAGUAAUGCCUAGGAAUCUGCCUGGUAGUGGGGGAUAACGCUCGGAAACGGACGCUAAUACCGCAUACGUCCUACGGGAGAAAGCAGGGGACCUUCGGGCCUUGCGCUAUCAGAUGAGCCUAGGUCGGAUUAGCUAGUUGGUGAGGUAAUGGCUCACCAAGGCGACGAUCCGUAACUGGUCUGAGAGGAUGAUCAGUCACACUGGAACUGAGACACGGUCCAGACUCCUACGGGAGGCAGCAGUGGGGAAUAUUGGACAAUGGGCGAAAGCCUGAUCCAGCCAUGCCGCGUGUGUGAAGAAGGUCUUCGGAUUGUAAAGCACUUUAAGUUGGAGGAAGGGCAGUAAAUUAAUACUUUGCUGUUUUGACGUUACCGACAGAAUAAGCACCGGCUAACUCUGUGCCAGCACG
This 510-nucleotide ribosomal RNA is filed under the name uncultured bacterium. RNAcentral describes it as "bacterial SSU rRNA". It matches the Rfam family "Bacterial small subunit ribosomal RNA", at positions 9 to 515 of the family's 1533-position model. The record is from RNAcentral.